AACGAACGCUGGCGGCAGGCCUAACACAUGCAAGUCGAACGCUCGUAGCAAUACGGGAGUGGCAGACGGGUGAGUAACACGUGGGAACCUUCCCUAUGGUUCGGAAUAGCUCAGGGAAACUUGGGGUAAUACCGGAUAAGCCCUUCGGGGGAAAGAUUUAUCGCCAUUGGAUGGGCCCGCGUCGGAUUAGCUAGUUGGUGAGGUAACGGCUCACCAAGGCAACGAUCCGUAGCUGGUCUGAGAGGAUGAUCAGCCACACUGGGACUGAGACACGGCCCAGACUCCUACGGGAGGCAGCAGUGGGGAAUAUUGGACAAUGGGCGGCAAGCCUGAUCCAGCCAUGCCGCGUGAGUGACGAAGGUCUUCGGAUUGU
RNAcentral lists this ribosomal RNA (373 nucleotides) under uncultured bacterium. Its description in RNAcentral is "bacterial SSU rRNA". It matches the Rfam family "Bacterial small subunit ribosomal RNA", at positions 29 to 426 of the family's 1533-position model. The record is from RNAcentral.